RNAcentral lists this long non-coding RNA (438 nucleotides) under Physcomitrium patens. RNAcentral's name for it is "long non-coding RNA (PPAT_LNC004908)". Lineage: Eukaryota; Viridiplantae; Streptophyta; Bryopsida; Funariales; Funariaceae. The record is from RNAcentral.
AUCUUAAUUGAUUGUUUUUCCUUAGAACUGGUAUUGGUCUUGUCAUCUCUAUUGUCGAUCAAAUUGAAACUCGCUUUGGUAUAGAUAUUGGUCUUGCUUUCCGUUCUGCCGCUUUGCUGGAUUCUCCCACUUCAUACACCAUUACCCCUGGACUAACUAUUCCCCUUUAUAAACUUGGAACUACUAGUUGAGAUUCAUGUUUCAAUGUAUACUCAAUCACUGAGUUUACAUAAUUGGAACAUAAUAGUGAAGCAAACUUCUCCGUCUUCUGCAUAGUUCCCAUUUCUGCAUGUAUCCUUCUGGCCACAUAAGCUGUCCAAUUGAAUACCAUGCCUUUCAGUGUUCCUAUCGCAGAAAAUAGUAAUCACUUUGCCAUGUAGAUAGUAUGUCGAUUCAAUGCUAACCGCUUCUAAACAAACCACAUCCAUUCUAUAAGUU